AGGGGAACAACUUAUAUGAAGAACAUUAGGCCAAAAUAUGAAUGUAACUUGCUCAAUUGGCUAAGCAAAUUGAGGUUUCAGAAUCUACCUGGUUCUAGAACUAUAAGGAGUCAUUGGACUAACACAUGAUAAAUUGAUCAUAACUUGAAAACCAGAACUCCAAAUGGAGUGAUUCAAAUUGGAAAAUAAAAUUAAAACAUAGAGGAACAAUUUU
Molecule: unclassified non-coding RNA, 214 nt
Filed under: Hevea brasiliensis (rubber tree)
Lineage: Eukaryota; Viridiplantae; Streptophyta; Magnoliopsida; Malpighiales; Euphorbiaceae
Source: RNAcentral